GGGGUUGACUGGUUUUGACAGCGAGUAGAAGAGGUUUGUAAGCAUGCAGUGCGUUGACAGUUAGCACUUUAAUCUCAAAUGUCGAACAAUUAACUGGCAAUAACAAUUAUGCUCUUGCUGCUUAAUCGAAGUAUAGUAGAUUGAAGCUUAAUCCCGGCACAGGUGUUGGGACAAGACAUCACCCGGAAGCUGUGGCUUCGAAGCGUUCCGAAUCGGUGGUGCAGAUAAAUCGGAGAUAGGGUGGGCGAGGCUUUGGCGCCUAUCUGAAACAAAAAAGCUAAGGAAAAAGUUGGUAGCUUCUGCCUUACUUUUUCUCGAAAAAUCAAGAGAAGAUAAGCAUGUAGAAAGCAAAUUGCUUCCUCGUUUGGACGAGGGUUCGAGUCCCUCCAACUCCAC
RNAcentral lists this transfer-messenger RNA (396 nucleotides) under Bacteroidetes bacterium ADurb.BinA261. RNAcentral's name for it is "transfer-messenger RNA, SsrA". It matches the Rfam family "transfer-messenger RNA". Rfam says of the family: Bacterial tmRNA, also known as 10Sa RNA or SsrA, is named for its dual tRNA and mRNA-like properties. Its role is to liberate the mRNA from a stalled ribosome. To accomplish this part of the tmRNA is used as a reading frame that ends in a translation stop signal. The record is from RNAcentral. Lineage: Bacteria; Pseudomonadati; Bacteroidota.